Molecule: long non-coding RNA, 1994 nt
Filed under: Mytilus galloprovincialis (Mediterranean mussel)
Lineage: Eukaryota; Metazoa; Mollusca; Bivalvia; Mytilida; Mytilidae
Source: RNAcentral
GGGGUUUUGUCAAGCUGAUCAUUUUGGUUAUAUACUGCUUCUCUUUUUACUAUAGCUUUAAAAUAAAACACAAAACAGGUAAAAUCGUCAAUGAGAGGCAAAAACUCCUGAAUAUUGACUUUUCUACAGAUGUUGACCUGCUGAUUUUUCUUGCUGUUUCAAGUUUCUGUUUAUCUAUGAAAGUUUGAAGAAAUGUAGUUUUAUUGACAAUAAGAGAACUAUCCAUCAGAGAUUAAAUUUCUUGUUCAAUAUAAAAAAAGAAGAUGUGGUAUGAUUGCCAAUGAGACAACUAUCCACAAAAGACUUCAUAUCAUUAGUUUUGCACUUCAGACUAUUCCAUUGAUAAGGAUUUGGGUGGAUAGGAAUGACUUUCAGUAUACAUCUCCCUACUUUUAAAUGUACAUACAUUAAGGAGUUAUUUUACAUACACCAUUUGUCAAACAAGCAAAAACAAACCACGACCCAAAUGUCCAAAAAUAAAAAUUCCUUUCUUCACCAUAUUUAUUUCAAUGGAAUAGCUGUUAAACAAUUCUGAUCUUUAAGGCAGAGUUGUUUUUCUAAUGUUGUCUGUUGAAUUCAAUCACAGCAAGACUACAUGUUGUGUUGUGAUGGACUACUUGCUCAGAUACAGGUUCUUUUUCAUUGUUGAAGGCUAUAUUGUGACCACUUCUCAUGCAUUUUGUUAAAUUAAAAUGCUGGGACAGCGUCUCAGUCAUUUAUUAUCUUGGAUUCACAUUUUCGUGGAUUAUUGAAAUUGUAUUGUUCUUAGAUACUCAAUUUUGUUGUUUUUCCAAAUUUUGCAUUUAAGUUUAUGAGAAUUUCAGCUUUAUUGACCAUUUGUGGUUCACCUAUACCCCCAAGGAAUGGUAUAAUAGGAAUAAUUUCUUUCUUGUUUGUUUAGGAAUGGAAAAUGAAAUGAAUGCAAUAAUAUAUAUAUUCAUAUACUGUAUUUGUAAAGCAUAAUAUAAAUGUAUAAUGAAAUGUCACCAGGUUAACAGCAAAUUUACAGAAGGUAUUGUUCAAUAAUGGUUAGAUGACAUUUAAGGUGGUACCUAACACUACAGGGAGAUAACUCUGUAAAGUCAUCUAAACGUUUUAAUUAUGUUGUGUUGUAAAAGGAAUAUUAAGCUUCUCAAUGAUCAAAAUUGGUGUUUGUCAAACUGUUAUAUAACCAGUGUUAAUUUUUUCCGACAAAACGGUUGGUUAAAAAUUUUUGAAUUUUUAUAUUUUUGUAAAGGGUCAAAGUAAAUACUUUGACCAAAUUUUAUGAAAAUUAAACGGGACGAAUAAAUUUCAGUGAAAGUGUUGGGUACCACCUUAAAAUAUCAAUGAUAACAUGAACCUUGUUCUUGCUUGGAAAAUCCAGCAACAACUAUUACAAAGUAAUAUAAGAAGUCAUUCAAUAAACUAACAAUAAAGGCACUUAAAUUAAUUGAAAAUUUAACAAAUCAUUCAUAAAUCCAGAAAUACAAAUAAUGUCUUCAAAUAUAGUUAUUAGUGAUGCCAUGAUUUUAACAACUUAUUUAGGUGAUCUCAAUAUUGCUAUAAAAGUUCUUUGUAAAACUAAAUUAUGAGUGUCAAAUUGAACAAAAAUCAAUACUGACUGAGGUUUUGGGCUGAGGUCAUUAUUCAUUUUGGUGCAACCACCAAAGAAACAGCUUUAUGAGUGUUUUUAAGGUAGCAUCUUAGAAAAUGAUUUAUUCAAACAUGUAAUUUUUAUCAAUAUGAUUACUGAUAAAUAAUGAAAAUUAUGUUUAGUAAAUUUGUUUCUGAUGUAAUACUGGUUUAAACUAUGCAACUAUAAAAAUAAAUUAUUGUAUAAAAAAAUUAUUCAUACUUUGUAAUCAUCAACAUGAUUUUGAUUAAAAAAAUGAUUAACCAAAAUAUACACAAAAUAAUCAAUGCAUACAACAUCGACCAGAGCAGCCAAUUUCCAUUUCAGAAAAAAACAUUCAAAUUUUUACAAAAUGAUGCAUUCCUUUCGUUCAUCAAUU